CAGCAACGUCCACGCAUGCUUACCUCUUCAUUUUAGCGCCAAGGCCUGCUUUGCCUUGAGCGUUUAGUGGGUUUCCUGUGUUGCAUACCUAAUUGAUGGUAUUCUACAGAACAUCAUUGUUAUUUUUCGUCGUGCGUCGCUCAUGUGGCGUGAGACGAACCGUGUAGCGGUCUCUAUGCUCCAUCUUGUCAAUGUCCAUGCAUUGAUGACUUGGCCCUAUGAGCAUUGCUUGGUAUCUUGGAUACGGAACCUUAUGCGGGCAUGGGUCCUACGYGAUCCUUCUUUUGCCCUUCUUAAGCGUUCUCGCUUCUCCAAAACGACUGCCCGUCACGUGUUGGCAUGUCC
This 345-nucleotide unclassified non-coding RNA is filed under the name Pertya scandens. RNAcentral's name for it is "partial miscellaneous RNA". The record is from RNAcentral. Lineage: Eukaryota; Viridiplantae; Streptophyta; Magnoliopsida; Asterales; Asteraceae.